RNAcentral lists this long non-coding RNA (967 nucleotides) under Helianthus annuus (common sunflower). Lineage: Eukaryota; Viridiplantae; Streptophyta; Magnoliopsida; Asterales; Asteraceae. The record is from RNAcentral.
AUGACGAUUCACUUUGCGAUUCGAAAGCCAUAUAAAUCGAGAUUAAUUACAAUAUUAAUCCUAAUACACUAGCAUACUAAACAAAACAUAAUCUACAAGGUUGUGAAUAUAUAUUCCCAACCACUAGACUUCACAAAAAAUGGUUGGAGAGUCGCCCCCCGCAAGCAUGCCAAAGAUCCACGCACACCAACCCUCAAAAGAGAACUUUUGAUGUUUUAGCGGUAUUUAUUCAGUUGCACUCAUGUUACCAAGCAUACCAACUAUCAGGCCCGGUGUCAGCGCUGGGCAGAUGGCGAGGCCCAAAAGGUUUAUAGGCCCCCUGGGAGAGAGGAAGUAACAUACCGUUACGAAGUGAUGACAAUCCAUCACAAAUCCACACCACACGUCCACGCCUCACUUUUUAGAGAUUUGUCUUCUGCGCACGUAACAAUCCAUUUUGAAACAGUAUCCGUCACCCACCUUUUCACAUCUGAGUUGUCAAGACGGCCUAGAUUUAUAUAAUAUAGCUCCCAACUCCCAAAACUCAUUUCUUAGCACGAUAUAUGCCUAUUUGAUGUUAGAGUCUUUCGUGUUGGAUUAUCUUCUCGUUUCACGCUCGAGUGGCAUUUCUUGAUCAGCAUCUAUCAUAACUCUAAUUUGGUGUUUUCUCAAACUCCUAAACCUUCCUCACUAAAAACAAAAGUAUCAUCACAAUGUCUCUUUCCAUCAUUAUAGAAAAUGUUUCACCCUCAUUUGUUUUGUCCUCCCAAAUAGGUUUGGGACCAUCUAGCUUCUUAGCCAGUUGGAUUAUUAGAUGCAAGUAUUGGUGUUAUCUAGCCAGCUGGAUCAUUUGGUAGUUUUGGUGUUUCUUGCAUAUCCUUCCAUUCCAUUUGCAUAGAUCAGAUAAUAUUUUGUUAUCACACUUUUCCAUGUAUGGUCUAUUUUCUCUAUCUUGUCAUUCCCUCUUGCUAAAAUUUCCUAACUUAAC